Molecule: long non-coding RNA, 367 nt
Filed under: Musa acuminata (dwarf banana)
Lineage: Eukaryota; Viridiplantae; Streptophyta; Magnoliopsida; Zingiberales; Musaceae
Description: long non-coding RNA (MACU_LNC010132)
Source: RNAcentral
UACCCUGCAGCAGCUCGGCCACCCACGCAGCCCCAGUGGCAAUGUCAGACGCCACCAAAGGUACAGUCCUACCCUGCAGACAACCACGUCAGGUAACAUCAAACUUCAUCUAUAAAUACCCCCAAACUCUAAAGAGAAAGAGGGAGAGGAACUCACUCAGACACAAAACACUCAGAGGCUCUUCUUCUGCCUCAUCCACAAUCCCCUCCACAUCUUUCUCUAAUUUGAUCGUCGGAGGGGUCGGGCCGAGCUCCCGGCCCGACCUGUGUGCAGGUGCGAGACGGUGUCGCCUCUUCCUGAAGCUGCGGCAGAGCUGCCUCCCGACCCGAACCGCCAACCCGACCUGCCGAACCGACCUCCCGACCCG